GACGAACGCUGGCGGCGUGCUUAACACAUGCAAGUCGAACGGAAAGGCCUGCUUUCCCUUGUGGAUUGCGGUUACUCGAGUGGCGAACGGGUGAGUAACACGUGAGUUAUCUUCCCCCAACUUGUGUAUAAACCUGGGAAACUGGGUCUAAUUCCCGAUAGGACUGCAGGGUGGGGCCGGUGGUGGAAGAGGAUUUUCUAGGGGUUGGGGAUGAGCUCGCUGCUUAUCAGCUUGUUGGUGGGGUAGUGGCUUACCAAGGCUUUGACGGGUAGCCGGCCUGAGAGGGUGACCGGCCACAUUGGGACUGAGACACGGCCCAGACUCCUACGGGAGGCAGCAGUGGGGAAUAUUGCACAAUGGGCGGAAGCCUGAUGCAGCGACGCCGCGUGGGGGAUGACGGCCUUCGGGUUGUAAACUCCUUUCGACCGCGAGGAAGCCACCUGGUUGGAAGGGUGGUGACGGUAGUGGUAGAAGAAGCACCGGCUAACUACGUG
Molecule: ribosomal RNA, 494 nt
Filed under: uncultured bacterium
Lineage: Bacteria
Description: partial 16S ribosomal RNA
Rfam family: Bacterial small subunit ribosomal RNA
Source: RNAcentral